GCGUGCUCGAAAAUGUUAAAGUUCUUAUUUCAUGGUAUAACUUUGGUAUGCUUGGACCUAGAGUCUUCAAACUUGACAUGAAGGUUGGCCAGGAUUAACAGAUGACCACUGGUCAUUUCAAGGUCAUUCAUUUGAAGGUCAAGGUCACUGUGACCUUCAAUAUAAAAAAUGUUAAAGUUGUUAUAACUUUGGUAUGCUUGGACCUAGAGUCUUGAAACUUGACAUGAAGGUUGGCCAUAACUAGUUAGUAACCACUGGUCAUUUCAAGGUCAUUCAUUUGAAGGUCAAGGUCACUGUGACCUUGAAUGUAAAAAUGUUAAAGUUCUUAUUUCAUGGUAUAACUUUGGUAUGCUUGGACCUAGAGUCUUCAAACUUGACAUGAAGGUUGGCCAGGAUUAACAGAUGACCACUGGUCAUUUCAAGGUCAUUCAUUUGAAGGUGAAGGUCACUGUGACCUUCAAUAUAAAAAUGUUAAAGUUGUUAUAACUUUGGUAUGCUUGGACCUAGAGUCUUGAAACUUGACAUGAAGGUUGGCCAGAACUAGUAAGUAACCACUGGACAUUUCAAGGUCAUUCAUUUGAAGGUCAAGGUCACUGUGACCUUGAAUGUAAAAAUGUUAAAGUUGUUAUAACUUUGGUAUGCUUGGACCUAGAGUCUUGAAACUUGACAUGAAGGUUGGCCAGAACUAGUAAGUAACCACUGGACAUUUCAAGGUCAUUCAUUUGAAGGUCAAGGUCACUGUGACCUUGAAUGUAAAAAUGUUAAAGUUCUUAUUUCAUGUUAUAACUUUGGUAUGCUUGUACCUAGAGUCUUCAAACUUGAAAUAAAGAUUGGCCAGUACUAGAAGAUGACCACUGGUCAUUUCAAUGUCAUUCAUUUGAAGGUCAAGGUCACUGUGACCUUAAAUGUUAUUGUUGUUCAUGUAUAUGCAUGCAUUCAAAACAUAACACAAGGUUUUCUCAUGCCUUGAAAAGUACUUACAUUUCAUUUUGACCUUUGAACAAUAUUUCAGUAAUUUAAGUAUUGCAUUGACAAAAACACGAAAGGUACUUUCCUGUCAUUUAAAUCAAAAAUCCGGCUUCAAUGCGGUCAUCUCCGACCGCGGAACUCUUGUUAUAACUUUGGUAUGCUUGUACCUAGAGUCUUCAAACUUGACAUAAAGGUUGGCCAGUACUAGAAGAUCACCACUGCUCAUUUCAAUGUCAUUCAUUUGAAGGUCAAGGUCACUGUGACCUUCAAUGUUAAAAUGUUAAAAUUGUUAUAACUUUGGUAUGCUUGGACCUAGAAUCUCAAACUUGACGUAAAGGUUUGCAAGCACACUUAGAUGACCACUGGUCAUUUCAAGGUCAUUCAUUUGAAGGUCGAGGUCACUGUGACCUUGGAUGUAAAUAUGUUAAAGUUGUUAAUACUUUGGUAUGCUUAGACCUAGAGUCUUCAAACUUGAUAUGAAGGUUGGCCAGAACUAGUAGAUGACCACUGGUCAUUUUAAGGUCAAGGUCACCGUGACCUUGAAUG
Molecule: long non-coding RNA, 1515 nt
Organism: Dreissena polymorpha
Lineage: Eukaryota; Metazoa; Mollusca; Bivalvia; Myida; Dreissenidae
Exons: 3
Source: RefSeq, a predicted model, not a curated record